RNAcentral lists this non-coding RNA (30 nucleotides) under Rattus norvegicus (Norway rat). Lineage: Eukaryota; Metazoa; Chordata; Mammalia; Rodentia; Muridae. The record is from RNAcentral.
UGCCUUUGAGUUUCAAAUAUACUUCUAUGC